RNAcentral lists this ribosomal RNA (440 nucleotides) under uncultured bacterium. Its description in RNAcentral is "bacterial SSU rRNA". It matches the Rfam family "Bacterial small subunit ribosomal RNA", at positions 355 to 787 of the family's 1533-position model. The record is from RNAcentral.
UGGGGAAUAUUGGACAAUGGGCGCAAGCCUGAUCCAGCCAUGCCGCGUGGGUGAAGAAGGCCUUCGGGUUGUAAAGCCCUUUUGUUGGGAAAGAAAACUUUCCGGUUAAUACCCGGAGAGAAUGACGGUACCCAAAGAAUAAGCACCGGCUAACUUCGUGCCAGCAGCCGCGGUAAUACGAAGGGUGCAAGCGUUACUCGGAAUUACUGGGCGUAAAGCGUGCGUAGGUGGUUCGUUAAGUCUGAUGUGAAAGCCCUGGGCUCAACCUGGGAAUUGCAUUGGAUACUGGCGGGCUAGAGUACGGUAGAGGGUAGUGGAAUUCCUGGUGUAGCAGUGAAAUGCGUAGAGAUCAGGAGGAACAUCCGUGGCGAAGGCGACUACCUGGACCAGUACUGACACUGAGGCACGAAAGCGUGGGGAGCAAACAGGAUUAGAUACCC